GGAAUAUUGGACAAUGGGCGCAAGCCUGAUCCAGCAACUCCGCGUGAGGGAUGAAGGCCCUCGGGUCGUAAACCUCUGUCAGAAGGGACGAAAUCCCUGAUUCGCACAGGAUCGGGUGCUGACGGUACCUUCACAGGAAGCACCGGCUAACUCCGUGCCAGCAGCCGCGGUAAUACGGAGGGUGCAAGCGUUGUUCGGAAUUACUGGGCGUAAAGCGGGUGUAGGCGGCCGCGCAAGUCAGAUGGGAAAUCCCUGGGCCCAACCCAGGAACUGCAUUUGAUACUGCACGGCUCGAGUCCCGGAGAGGAUGGCGGAAUUCCAGGUGUAGAGGUGAAAUUCGUAGAUAUCUGGAGGAACACCAGCGGCGAAGGCGGCCAUCUGGACGGUGACUGACGCUCAGACCCGAAAGCGUGGGGAGCAAAC
This 423-nucleotide ribosomal RNA is filed under the name uncultured bacterium. RNAcentral's name for it is "bacterial SSU rRNA". It matches the Rfam family "Bacterial small subunit ribosomal RNA", at positions 358 to 773 of the family's 1533-position model. The record is from RNAcentral.